Molecule: long non-coding RNA, 969 nt
Filed under: Coffea arabica (coffee)
Lineage: Eukaryota; Viridiplantae; Streptophyta; Magnoliopsida; Gentianales; Rubiaceae
Description: long non-coding RNA (CARA_LNC005461)
Source: RNAcentral
UUUCUGCUGGUGCUGGCCGAACUUAGCUUGGAGAAAACACCAAGGAAGAUUUCUUCAUUUCACCUUCAAAUCCAACAACUUAGUGAGAAAAUCCACAAAGUAAACCGAUUAAACCUACUCUUGAGUGAUUAUCUAGUGAUUGGUGGUGGAAAUUUGGGAAGAGAAAGCUUGGGGCUGCUCUUAGGGACUUCUAAUCAAGAUAAGAGGAUGAUAUCUCUCUAACUUUCUCUUUCAAUCAUGGUUAAAGUAAGCUUGGUAGCUUGAUUGGUGGUAGAUUCAUGGAUGCUAGCAUGUGUAGGAGUUUUUCCCCAAUUUAAUUGAUGAACUAGGGUUUCUGAAUUUCUGCUCAAGUUGAAGUAUGAUGCAUGAAUGUUGCAAUUAAAGUUAUAUAAGGUUGUUUAGUGGUGAUUAGAACCAGAAAUUUGAGGAAAUUACACUUAGAGCUAAAAAUUCCAGAUUUCUGGAAAAUUUCCCAAGCAUUCUGUCCGAAAUUGUACCUAUAUGUUAGAGGCCGAAUUGGCCUUUGGUCAAAGAAGGAAAGUUGUAGAGAAUGGUGUUUUAUAAGUGCCUGUAAAAUUUCAGCUCAAUCGGAGCAACGUAGGAUGUGAAAAGUCCAAAAUACCCCUACUGUUUUAAGAAUUUCCCAGCAGUCCGUUUCUUCAGUUCAGUCCAGUUUAUCACGAUUUUUGACCAGGAUCCAUUCUGAUUUAGCUCUGGGCCAAAACAUAAAAGUUGUAGUGUUCUGAAGUAGCUUUAAAAUGCUUCAAAGAAAAUCUGAUUCGGACUUGUGUACACUGAGUUAGGUCCGUUACAGCAUAAUGCGUUUAAACUGCCGGUGAAUUGGUUUCUGGUUUAGUAAUCUGAGAUUUUGACUAAGUUACAUUAGGAAAUGGACUAAGUGACCUUCAUGAAUGUUGUAGCUCUGUGUCUUAGCUUCGAAACGGCAUAGGUUUCGUUUUAAUCCGAUAA